AUCGCUUCUCGGCCUUUUGGCUAAGAUCAAGUGUAGUAUCUGUUCUUAUCAGUUUCAAAUUCAAAUGCAUCUGGAAGGCAACAAAGGGGAGAGGCUCCUCAAAGGUAACCUCG
Molecule: small nuclear RNA, 113 nt
Filed under: Suricata suricatta (meerkat)
Lineage: Eukaryota; Metazoa; Chordata; Mammalia; Carnivora; Herpestidae
Description: U2 spliceosomal RNA (ENSSSUG00005015069.1)
Rfam family: U2 spliceosomal RNA
About the family: U2 is a small nuclear RNA (snRNA) component of the spliceosome (involved in pre-mRNA splicing). Complementary binding between U2 snRNA (in an area lying towards the 5' end but 3' to hairpin I) and the branchpoint sequence (BPS) of the intron results the bulging out of an unpaired adenosine, on the BPS, which initiates a nucleophilic attack at the intronic 5' splice site, thus starting the first of two transesterification reactions that mediate splicing.
Source: Rfam by way of RNAcentral